UGUUCAGGUGGGAAAGGAGCAAGAGGGAGACUUGAAAACAGUCCUGUGGGGCUCGUGAAGUACUCAGAUAAGUGACAUCUUAUACCUGAAUACCUGAAUACCUGUUUUUCACAGUGGGGGCUUGGGUGGGUGUCUUAGCAUUGGUUUUCCCCAUCUUGGAGAUUUCAGGGCUUACUUGUCAGAAGGUGCCAUCUUCUUGGAGGAAGGAAUGAACCGGUAGUUUGAACUCUACAGAACAAGAGAGGGGACUUGAAUACAGGCAUCUGGUUGGCAGUGGAAUAUGUGGAAACUGAGGCAGAGCUGGGGGAUUCAAAUCCAGACCGGCUGUGUGCACACUCUUAGCCACGCGGCAUCACCUCAGAGAUCCAGCCUAUCAAACAAGUGUCUGGAGUCACAAUGACUUGGGAGGCUGAGAGUUUACCUAGAAGCCAAGGAAAGGUUCUGACCCGGCCUGCUCUGGUUAGGUGGCAAUGGGAAAUAACAGACACAUCCCAGCUGAAUGGUGCGCUGACCGGCUACACUCCCAGGAUGCAUAAUUAAAUACACAUACACUAAAAUACAUCUAUGUGUGCAAUUCUGAUACAUCAUUGGGUAUUCAUAGUAGACCAUUUCUUCAUCUUUCCUUCAUUCUCUAUUUCCAUGUCUCUCCUUCCCACCAUUCCUGUAUCUGUCCUUCCCUUCCAAAUACAAGAUAGUUCAGGGUUUUGUGCCUUGUGGAGUAGAAGGGAUUCUAUUCUUAAAACAGAUUUCAUUUGUAUUGACUUCACCCCUACCUGUAUCCCAGAUCUUCUUCUGAGCCCCAGACCACAUAUGUGUGUGUGUGUGUGUAUAUAUAUAUAUGUAUCAACUACCUCCUGACCACCUAACAUGGGUGUCAUACAGGCACUUCAAAUACAUGUUCAAAACUGAACUUGCCCUCUUGCUACAAACUGCAUUUUGAUUCACCUUAUUUUACUCUCAACUGAACCUGGCUAGAAAAAUGUGACCAUUAACUUCAGUUGGGACCUCAGGGCAUCCCUGCCAUCCUAAGACAUUUCCCUGGUCCAUUUUCUCUCCAACUCUU
Molecule: long non-coding RNA, 1063 nt
Organism: Choloepus didactylus (southern two-toed sloth)
Lineage: Eukaryota; Metazoa; Chordata; Mammalia; Pilosa; Megalonychidae
Exons: 3
Source: RefSeq, a predicted model, not a curated record